This 1428-nucleotide ribosomal RNA is filed under the name uncultured Mycobacterium sp. Its description in RNAcentral is "bacterial SSU rRNA". It matches the Rfam family "Bacterial small subunit ribosomal RNA". The record is from RNAcentral. Lineage: Bacteria; Bacillati; Actinomycetota; Actinomycetes; Mycobacteriales; Mycobacteriaceae.
CGCUGGCGGCGUGCUUAACACAUGCAAGUCGAACGGAAGGGUCUCUUCGGAGAUGCUUGAGUGGCGAACGGGUGAGUAGCACGUGGGUGAUCUGCCCUGCACUCUGGGAUAAGCCUGGGAAACUGGGUCUAAUACCGGAUAGGACCGCACGCUGCAUGGUGUGUGGUGGAAAGCUUUUGCGGUGUGGGAUGGGCCCGCGGCCUAUCAGCUUGUUGGUGGGGUGAUGGCCUACCAAGGCGACGACGGGUAGCCGGCCUGAGAGGGUGUCCGGCCACACUGGGACUGAGAUACGGCCCAGACUCCUACGGGAGGCAGCAGUGGGGAAUAUUGCACAAUGGGCGCAAGCCUGAUGCAGCGACGCCGCGUGGGGGAUGACGGCCUUCGGGUUGUAAACCUCUUUCACCAUCGACGAAGCCGUAAGGUGACGGUAGGUGGAGAAGAAGCACCGGCCAACUACGUGCCAGCAGCCGCGGUAAUACGUAGGGUGCGAGCGUUGUCCGGAAUUACUGGGCGUAAAGGGCUUGUAGGUGGUUUGUCGCGUUGUUCGUGAAAUGCCACAGCUUAACUGUGGGCGUGCGGGCGAUACGGGCAGACUGGAGUACUGCAGGGGAGACUGGAAUUCCUGGUGUAGCGGUGGAAUGCGCAGAUAUCAGGAGGAACACCGGUGGCGAAGGCGGGUCUCUGGGCAGUAACUGACGCUGAGAAGCGAAAGCGUGGGGAGCGAACAGGAUUAGAUACCCUGGUAGUCCACGCCGUAAACGGUGGGUACUAGGUGUGGGUUUCCUUCCUUGGGAUCCGUGCCGUAGCUAACGCAUUAAGUACCCCGCCUGGGGAGUACGGCCGCAAGGCUAAAACUCAAAGGAAUUGACGGGGGCCCGCACAAGCGGCGGAGCAUGUGGAUUAAUUCGAUGCAACGCGAAGAACCUUACCUGGGUUUGACAUGCACAGGACGCUGGUAGAGAUAUCAGUUCCCUUGUGGCCUGUGUGCAGGUGGUGCAUGGCUGUCGUCAGCUCGUGUCGUGAGAUGUUGGGUUAAGUCCCGCAACGAGCGCAACCCUUGUCUCAUGUUGCCAGCGCGUGAUGGCGGGGACUCGUGAGAGACUGCCGGGGUCAACUCGGAGGAAGGUGGGGAUGACGUCAAGUCAUCAUGCCCCUUAUGUCCAGGGCUUCACACAUGCUACAAUGGCCGGUACAAAGGGCUGCGAUGCCGUGAGGUUAAGCGAAUCCUAGAAAAGCCGGUCUCAGUUCGGAUCGGGGUCUGCAACUCGACCCCGUGAAGUCGGAGUCGCUAGUAAUCGCAGAUCAGCAACGCUGCGGUGAAUACGUUCCCGGGCCUUGUACACACCGCCCGUCACGUCAUGAAAGUCGGUAACACCCGAAGCCAGUGGCCUAACCCGUUGGGAGGGAGCUGUCGAAGGUGGGAUCGGC